This 254-nucleotide ribosomal RNA is filed under the name uncultured bacterium. RNAcentral's name for it is "partial 16S ribosomal RNA". It matches the Rfam family "Bacterial small subunit ribosomal RNA", at positions 524 to 776 of the family's 1533-position model. The record is from RNAcentral.
UACGUAGGGUGCGAGCGUUAUCCGGAAUCAUUGGGCGUAAAGAGCUCGUAGGCGGUUCAGCAAGUCGGCUGUGAAAGGCCGAGGCUCAAACUCGGAAUUGCAGUCGAUACUGCUGUGACUCGAGUCCGGUAGAGGAGAACGGAAUUCCCGGUGUAGCGGUGAAAUGCGCAGAUAUCGGGAGGAACAACAGUAGCGAAGGCGGUUCUCUGGGCCGGCACUGACGCUGAGGCGCGAAAGCGUGGGGAGCGAACAGG